GGGGUCUAGACUAUCAAAUAGUCAAGUAUCAGGGGGUAAUUAGCACCAAAUUAAUCCAGCUGUGCACCGAAUGAACAGUGCUAAGUUCAGGAGAGAACUUCUCUAUCUUUCGAUACAAAAAUGAACACAAUUUUGUUGGAUGAGGGACUUAUCAUUUAGAAUUAUCAUACUAAUUGUAGCACUAGCCUGGGGAUUGUUGCUAUACAUAGCUAUGCUGCAGUAGCUUGCAAAAUCCCAAUGGUAUAAGGAAGAUGUAAAAAAAAAUUGAUCCAUGACUUUUUACUCUGUCACAAGAUUUACUUAUAUCCGGAUUCAGUUGUAUCCAAAGUAUCAAGCGCUUCCUUUUCAGGAAUUACUUGACUACAUAGGUGCACUUUCAAGAUUUCUUCUGAUAGCUUCCUGUGCAGUAAGUACUAGAACUUAUCCCCUAUGCUGCCUAACCCCCCACCCCCCAGCUAAAAGGAAAAAGACUGCAGUCAGCACUAGAAACAACUUGGAUUAAUUCAUGUUUUACCUGAAGACUAUACUCUGCUCGGCAUUAGGCAUCUAGAAACAAUGGUGAAGCCAGAAAGUUUGCUAAGGAUUUAGUAUAAGAAGUAAUAUUUGACCUAUAUACACAAAAUAAUUUUUUGGUGAAGGGUAUUCAGCGGGCCACCCUUGAGCCCAUGUGGCACCAAUGAGCUACGCUAAUUCACAGAUCAAAAAGAGCAACCAGAAGAGACAAAAUUUGUAGACAAAAAGUGUGCAUCUUCAGGAAGUAUAAUUUUUAGGGGUAUCGCCCUGAAGGAAAUUGUUGUACUGCUACUGAAUUUUUUUUGAAAACUAUGUUUAUUGUGCAAUCUUAGGUUUCCUGUGAUCCAAUUUUUGGGUGCCAACAUGGAAAAGUUUGCUUUGCCAAAAAGGGAAGAUGAUCAUUAAGUUCUAAAUUGAAGUAAAAGAUAAUAUCAGCAAAUGUGAACAAUUAAAUAGUCGAUGGGAAACCUAUGGUACAACUGGAAAAAGCUGAAGUCGAGGAGGAGGAAGCUAAAUGGAAGUGUGCCUUAGUGGUGUACAUUCUGGGUGACGGUCCUGGCUUCAAUGCAAUGAGAAGAUUCAUUAGUCACCACUGGUCUCAAGUCCCCGAACCAGAUUUGUUCUAUCAUGACGAAGGGUACUACAUUGUGAAAUUCAAGAAUGUGGCAGAUGCCAAAGAGAUUAUGUGUGUAAGUCCCCGAACCAGAUUUGUUCUUUCAUGAUGAAGGGUACUACAUUGUGAAAUUCAAGAAUGUAGCUGAUGCCAAAGAGAUUAUGUGUGCUAG
This 1298-nucleotide long non-coding RNA is filed under the name Nicotiana benthamiana. Its description in RNAcentral is "long non-coding RNA (NBEN_LNC033773)". The record is from RNAcentral. Lineage: Eukaryota; Viridiplantae; Streptophyta; Magnoliopsida; Solanales; Solanaceae.